Molecule: ribosomal RNA, 253 nt
Filed under: uncultured bacterium
Lineage: Bacteria
Description: partial 16S ribosomal RNA
Rfam family: Bacterial small subunit ribosomal RNA
Source: RNAcentral
GACGGAAGGUGCAAGCGUUGCUCGGAAUCACUGGGCGUAAAGCGCACGUAGGCGGACUCGUAGGUCAAUUGUGAAAUACCUGGGCUCAACCCAGGAACUGCAGUUGAAACCACUUGUCUUGAAUACCUGAGAGGGUGGGGGAAUACCUGGUGGAGAAGUGAAAUUCGUAGAGAUCAGGUGGAACACCGGAGGCGAAGGCGCCUGCCUGGCAGUGUAUUGACGCUGAGGUGCGAAAGUGCGGGGAGCAAACAGG